GGUAGUCCACGCCGUAAACGAUGAGUACUAGUUGUCGGGGGUAUCGACCCCCUCGGUAACGAAGCUAACGCGAUAAGUACUCCGCCUGGGGACUACGACCGCAAGGUUAAAACUCAAAGGAAUUGACGGGGCCCGCACAAGCAGCGGAGCGUGCGGUUUAAUUCGAAGCGACGCGAAGAACCUUACCAGGGCUUGACAUGGCGGGGACAGCCGGUGAAAGCCGGUCUCCCUUCGGGUCCCGUCACAGAUGCUGCAUGGCCGUCGUCAGCUCGUGCCGUGAGGUGUUGGGUUAAG
Molecule: ribosomal RNA, 294 nt
Filed under: uncultured bacterium
Lineage: Bacteria
Description: partial 16S ribosomal RNA
Rfam family: Bacterial small subunit ribosomal RNA
Source: RNAcentral